CCAGACAGCCAGGAUGUUGGCUUAGAAGCAGCCAUCAUUUAAAGAAAGCGUAAUAGCUCACUGGUCGAGUCGGCCUGCGCGGAAGAUGUAACGGGGCUAAACCAUGCACCGAAGCUGCGGCAGCGACGCUUAUGCGUUGUUGGGUAGGGGAGCGUUCUGUAAGCCUGUGAAGGUGUGCUGUGAGGCAUGCUGGAGGUAUCAGAAGUGCGAAUGCUGACAUAAGUAACGAUAAAGCGGGUGAAAAGCCCGCUCGCCGGAAGACCAAGGGUUCCUGUCCAACGUUAAUCGGGGCAGGGUGAGUCGACCCCUAAGGCGAGGCCGAAAGGCGUAGUCGAUGGGAAACAGGUUAAUAUUCCUGUACUUGGUGUUACUGCGAAGGGGGGACGGAGAAGGCUAUGUUGGCCGGGCGACGGUUGUCCCGGUUUAAGCGUGUAGGCUGGUUUUCCAGGCAAAUCCGGAAAAUCAAGGCUGAGGCGUGAUGACGAGGCACUACGGUGCUGAAGCAACAAAUGCCCUGCUUCCAGGAAAAGCCUCUAAGCAUCAGGUAACAUCAAAUCGUACCCCAAACCGACACAGGUGGUCAGGUAGAGAAUACCAAGGCGCUUGAGAGAACUCGGGUGAAGGAACUAGGCAAAAUGGUGCCGUAACUUCGGGAGAAGGCACGCUGAUAUGUAGGUGAAGUCCCUCGCGGAUGGAGCUGAAAUCAGUCGAAGAUACCAGCUGGCUGCAACUGUUUAUUAAAAACACAGCACUGUGCAAACACGAAAGUGGACGUAUACGGUGUGACGCCUGCCCGGUGCCGGAAGGUUAAUUGAUGGGGUUAGC
This 825-nucleotide ribosomal RNA is filed under the name Escherichia coli. Its description in RNAcentral is "partial 23S ribosomal RNA". It matches the Rfam family "Bacterial large subunit ribosomal RNA", at positions 1085 to 1894 of the family's 2925-position model. The record is from RNAcentral. Lineage: Bacteria; Pseudomonadati; Pseudomonadota; Gammaproteobacteria; Enterobacterales; Enterobacteriaceae.